CCCUCUGCUGAUGAUCCUUUGCUGCCGGUCUGCCGGAUACUGCACACAGACAGGAACAACCAAGAUACAAUGUCAUAUGUGUGAGGGGACGGCCUUUUUACAUUCAAGUAUGUUAGAUAUUUGCCUUUUAUGUGUGAAUUAAUUGUGGAAUUUUACUUUUGAGUUGCAAUUUGUUAAAUCCAUGUCUUCUUAGGUGGGGAGGAAAGUCAUAUAUACCGUGUCAAAUUUGAGAUUUGAGGGAAGCUAACUGGCCUUCUUCGUGAUAUCUGUAUUUCCGAUUUUAUUUGCUUUGUUGGUUUGUUUCAUGAUCUGUUUUUCUGGCCGCUAAACAGAAAUUAGGAUUUAAUAGAACAGGUAAGUAAAAUAGAGGUGAUAUGUCUAGAGACUGGAAACAAAUCCUCUUCUGUUUUGUGGUCUGUCAGAUUCUUCUGGUAGUCCGAAGAUCCCCGAAUUCCUUAAAAUUGGACCAUGGUUCGCAGAAUGCAAGAUGUAAUCUUUGAACUUGUAUAUGGCUACUGUAUACAGAAUUGCAUAAUCAUAGAAAGAUUGUGCUUGGAGGAUUAAAGAUACACCCUAAAAAGGGAAGUUUAAUUGCACGUCAAUCUGUUGAUAAUAUGAAAUGGGUCUUUUUCUUGAACUAGUAUAUGGUGUUAUGUUAAACGUGUUACACAUAUAUUGCCCUUUCAUGCUACAACAACAACAUACUCAGUGAAAUCCCACUAAGUAGGGUCUACGAAGGAUAGAGUAUACACAGACCUUACCACUACCUCGUGGAAGUAGAGAGGUUGUUUCCGAAAGACCCUCGGCUCAAGUGCGUCAAAUUCAAGUAAAAGAAGAAGACAAUGAAGAAAACAUAGCAGUUAAAUAAGAAAAGCAGUGUAUAGUCGAUAAAAAAGCAAUAACAACAACAAAAUAGUGGGGGUCAUGUACCCUUUCAUGCUACAUGAGCAAAAAUACCUUGAACUGCAAUUUAUUUCAUUAGAAUCAUUGCAUGUUCUUGCUAUUAUUGUGAAAAAGACUGAGUAGCUAUAAUAGGUUACAGGAAAAAUACUAUUUUGUAUUUCUGGGAUGCGCUACUUAGGAAUAUGUUCGUGUUUCGGAGGCCAGUUUAUGCUGAAAAGACACCUUUUUAGAUUUCAUAAACCAUACCAACUUGAAGUGUUUUAUCUGGUGGAAUUUGAAGUGCAGAAAUAGCUGCCCUGCUAUUCUUCUGAAGAAACCUGUACAAGUACUCUAUAGUGAAGCGAGCAAACCAACCUUUAUUUGCUUUGAGAAUGGUUCUUCCUAACACAAAAACGGGUCCUCUUUCAGCAGCUGCAUCUAUUUUUCGUUUUUCACUAGUAGACUCGGCUUGGUCUUGGAGUUUUGUGAUCAUUAAAGUAACAAAGUCAUCUCCUUCCAUGCUUUGAGAAUCCUUAUAUCCAAACUGAAUCAAACACCGAUAAAAUCCUUCAACUCCCGUCUUCCCCACAUUGUAACGUUCCUCCACCAGGACGGUUUUGAUGGGAAGAGUUCUAACAGUGACAAUUACCAGGAUUUCUCUUACAGAAUUUGUGUGCUGAAUGUAAUGACAGAUUAUGGGUGGAAUGCCAUUUCUGAGAUCAGUGAAAAAGAAGCAAAUUCCUGGUGCUCGGUAUGUACUAUAGCUUGAUAGCAUUUGGUCUAGAUCAGGUAAACUCAUCUUUCUAUCUGCUUCAUAUUCUUUUUUCUUACUCCUUCCAUAUGUCCAAGAUAGCAUGAUAGUCAAGAAGAAAGCAGAAAUAGCAAAUGGCACCCAUCCUCCUUGUGGUAUUUUAUUGAGCAAAGAUGUCAUGAAACAACCUUCAAUUAUUAUAUAAGGCAAGAAAAAUGCCAAAAUGAGAAUGAUAUUUGUCUUCCAUAUGAUUAGCAUCACUAAUGCUGUCAAGAAUGUUGUUAUGAUCAGGGGCGGACCCACGUGGAGGUCAGGGGGUUCACCCGAACCCCCUCAUCGAAAAAUUACACUGUAUAUAUAAGGUCUAUUUCUGAUUUUAUGAGUACAUAUAUUAAAAUGAACCCCCUCAAUUUUUAAGAGAGGCAUGGCUCAGUGGUUAAGGGGUUCAACUCUAACCAAGAGGGUCUGGGUUCGAUUCCCACUUGCAACAUUUUUCCAUUUGUUUUUUUUUCUUUGAAAGGUUGAAUGGGCUCUUGCUUUGGGCUCAAAUCCAAUUCCAUUUCAUUGUUUUUAGAAGGCUGUAUGGGCUCUGGUUUCGGGCUCAAAUCCCAACUCAAUGAAAUGUCUCACUAUUUGAUUAUUAUUAAAUUUGAAAUUGAUUUACAAAAAUAUUAUAUAAAAAUAAAUUAAAUUAAAGUUAAUCGAAUGAAGAAAUUUAAAAGUCGUGUAUAAUCUUUUAAUAAAAUCUAAUUAAUUGAUUCCCGCCCCUCCCCCCCCUCUUAAAUUUAUAGUAUUUCUUUCUUAUUUUUUUUCAGUUUGAUUUUAAAAAGAUGAAAACUAAACUAAACUUAUUUGUUCUAUUCAUCAUUUGAUGAAUUAUUAUUAAAUUUGAAAUUGAUUUACAAAAAUAUUAUAUAAAAAUAAAUUAAAUUAAAGUUAAUCGAAUGAAGAAAUUUAAAAGUCGUGUAUAAUCUUUUAAUAAAAUCUAAUUAAUUGAUUCCCGCCCCUCCCCCCCCUCUUAAAUUUAUAGUAUUUCUUUCUUAUUUUUUUUCAGUUUGAUUUUAAAAAGAUGAAAACUAAACUAAACUUAUUUGNNNNNNNNNNNNNNNNNNNNNNNNNNNNNNNNNNNNNNNNNNNNNNNNNNNNNNNNNNNNNNNNNNNNNNNNNNNNNNNNNNNNNNNNNNNNNNNNNNNNUAAACUUAUUGGAUUCAGAUUACUAGUUUCCUCCUAUAUCUCGCUCAGUUUUUUAUCUUGUAAUUUUCACAUGUUUACUUCUUUAUAUUUCGAACCCCCUCCACAGAAAUCCUGGAUCCGCCACAGUUGACACCCCUUCGUUAGAAAACUAUAUUGUAUAGAUAGGUAACUUAUUUAUUUUAUAUAUAUGUGUUAUGAUAUUGAUAUCCUUUGAAUUCUUCAUGAAUUUACUUAUUUAUAUUUUGACAUUUCUUUAUGAAAAUUCUGAUUCGAACACUAAAAAUAACUAUCAAUAUUAAAUGACUGAUGACGACGAUCAUGCAUGAUAAAAGGAUGAUCAAGUGAACAACUCUAUCGACAAUUGCAUUGGGUAUCAAAUAAGGAUAAUAUACUUAAUAAUAUUGAUAUUUUUCUUUCUUUAUAGAAUAGAAUAAUGAGUUGGCACCUUUUUGAAGUUUCUUUUUAAGCACGUCGCCAAAAGUCAAAAUUCUUUUGGAUAUCCCUUUCUAUGGACGUCAUUUAGAUUUUGUCAUCUAUUAAUGAUUUUGUGCCAAUUAUUUAUAAGAUCGCAUAAGAUAUAAACGUUCUUUUUAACUUGACCUCAAUUGAUAUUUAUCUAUGUUUUUUAAUUUUGAAUGUAUAUAAGUAGACACUUGAAUUUGUACAAAAUUGAACAAAUAGACACAUUCAUCUUACGUGGCAUCCUACAAGUCAACUGUGUGUCCUACAUAUAUAUUAUGUCACGUAGGAUACAUAUAUAUAUCUAGGAAAAGUUAAUCCACAUAUACAUAUAAAAACAUAUAUUACAUCGUAUAUACGUAGAAAUUAGUAAUAUAACAAAAUAAUUACUAGUGAUGACAGAUUUGGAUUAUUUAAUAAUUAAUUUAAUUAUAUUUGAAUUAUUUAAUAAUUAUAUUUUUUUUGCUUUAGUGCAAAUAAGAAGCGUGCAAUUUUUGUAGUAGUACGUACCUAGGAUAUGAUCAUGACCCAGAUGACCACCACCCCUGUAGUUGAAAAAGAAAAGUUAGUUCCAUUUCUCAGCGAAGUACGCUUUAUUUGGACUUCCAGUUGUGGUUUAACUUAACAACAACAACAACAGAUCUAGUGUGAUCCCACACUUGUCUGGAGAGGUGGGUGGUAUGCAGACUGUACCCUACCUUUGCGAGGUAGAGAGGUUGCUUACGAUAAGACCCUCUCGGCUCAAGAAAAGCGUUUUUCAAACAUUUUUAUACUAUUAAUUUUACUCGUUUGGAAACCGACUCUCUACCUCCACGAGGUAGCGUAAGGUCUGUGUACACUCUACCCUCCCUAGACCUCACCUGUGUGAUUACACUAGGUAUGUUAUUGUUGUUGUUGAAUUAAUAAUAAUUUUACUGAUUAUAACAGGUUAUUUACCAUUGUUACAGAUUAUUAACCCAUUCUUGCUAUAAAAAGUUGCAUAUAAUUGGUUAUUUUAAGUAGCAUGAUAGUAUUAGAUUUUUAAGUUGUCGGUGUACAAAAAGAAAUCUGAGUGAUGCUUACCAUAGGCAUUUGCUAGUUCAACACCUCCUUUGAAACCAAGAACGAGAGUGACACAAAGAAUCAUGAGGAUGUAGUUUACCUCUGGGGAAUAGAUUUGUCCUUCAUGCUUGGAUGAAGUAUGUAUAAUGUUUACUCGAGGGAAGCAUCCAAGAGCAAGUGAUUGCUUUACAAUGGAAAAAGUUGCUGAUAUCAUGGACUGGCUAGCAACCACGGCAGCUAGAGUUGAGAUUACAAACAUUGGCCAGUAAACAGGUUUUGGUAGGGAACUGUAAUAAGCAUUGUUGAUAUUCUCUGGAUACCUCACUAGAUAAGCUGUUUCUCCGGCAUAGCUGAGAACUAGGGAUGGAUAAACUACAAAAGAAAAUGCCAACUGCAAGACUCAUUGUACAGAAAUGCCAUCAAUCAGAUUAACUUUUCUAAUGGUAGAUUAGAGUUCUUUGUUCCUUACCUGAAUUGCUCUUUUAUUGAAAUGACCUAAAUCAGCAAACAUGGCUUCCGCUCCUGCAUGACAGUUUAAAACAUGUCGGAAGUGAACUAAUUUUCUCCUAUUUCAUAUGCUUUUCUUUUAUCUUUUUUUUCCCCUCAAAAUUAGUUGUAAAGUUAAACCUGUAAUGCUUAGAAAUACUGCACCGAGAAGAUUCCAAGCAGUCUUUCCAUUUCUUGAAACAAAUUUCACUAUGUAGUGUGGAGAAAUGGCUUUAAGAACGGAUGGAUAGUACUCCAAAAUAUUGUAGAUACCGACUGAAACAUUGGUAGCAAACCACAAUAACAUUACGGGUGUGAAGCAGAAGCUAACUUUGCUUGUUCCACAGCGUUGAAAAGUGAAAAGUGCGAUUAACAUAAUCACAGACAUGAAAACCACAUGAUCUGCAGCCAAUAGAACUUUCAUUAAACCUCACGUUUUGGUGAGUAAAUGGAAGCAGAUCUGAACUAGCAAUAGAACUGUCUUUUGAAAAUUAUUUUGACUUUACCUUGUGUUAUCUUGGAAGAGAGAGAUUGAAUUCCUUGCAGGGCUGAGAGAACUGAUGUAACAAGUGUAUGGACAUGAGGCAACGUCGAAAGGAAAUAUAACUUGGAGAAAACAAAGGAAGAAUGUUACCGCAAGUAGCAGGAGUGAGAGCUCCAUCACCAAUGACCAUACAAGUUCCAAGUAAAACAACAAAAGUAAGAACAUUUUGAGCUGUGGAACUUUUCUCCAGGAACUUCUUAGUUUUUGAACGCCUAGAACUUCCACUCUCUUGGCUGUAAUAAGCCAUGCUCUCAUCAGAUUCCAUCCUAACGUUGUGGAUACUAAGUUUGCUUUGGAAAUUGAUAUGGCGACAGAGAUAUGAAUAGAGAGCAAAAGUACCGCCUUCUCCAUGAUCAUUAGCAUGGAGGACGAUGAAGACAUAUUUGACUAACACAAGCAACGUUAGAGUCCAAAAGAUUAGGCUGAAUGUCCCAAGUAAAUCAUCUUCAGUGAGAUUUGUCAAGCGAGUAGAGGAAAAUACAUUGACAGGAGAAGUGGCAAGGUCCCCAUAUACAACUCCAAGAGAUUGGUAAGCCAACAACAAGGUCUGCAUGGGUGGAUAUUCCUGAGAAAAAUACUCAAAAUCUCAAUAUCCUAUGAAGUGACUUAGAAGUUUCAAGGCAGUAACAAAAAAAAGUGUGAAGUUAUCAGAUUUUAUCGAAACUGGUAGUAGCACUAGCACACAUCGAGGGUAAAAUGAGAACAGGUUGCUUGUGAUGAUUUCAUCAUGUCCUAUGUCAACCUCCAGAUGCACCGGUCUGCAGGAACCAUGAUGACUUAAGGUGUUCAAAAGGAAGAGGUAGUUAUAACUUAAUCACAUGAAGGAAGUUAUCCCGAAAGACCUACACUCUCUUGAAAUCUAUGCAAACCUAGCAAAAGAUCGGGCACAAUGAAAGAAAAGGAUCUAUGUGGAUGAUACCAGUUAGUUGGUUUAAGCUUUAAUUAUGCUAAUAUGUUUACUUUCGAUCCCAAUGUUUGUUGGGAGUUUUUAGGUCUUGUUUGAGAUUUCAUGCGUGGGAAAUGCAGACAGCUUCUAGUGCUACAAAAACUAAUUCUUUAUUAUAUUUGAACUUAGACAAAGCUUAAUUGAGUGACAUGGACAAUGAGAAUUCAUAUAGCCGAGGAUUCACAUAGACGGUCUUAAAUAGAGGGACAGUGGAUAUUUCUUGGAAUAUUGAAGAUGAGAAAAAGUAAAGCUUACCUUAGCUUUGGUUAAGGGAGACUGGUAUGUCUGCAUAACUGUCAUGUAUGUUUCCAUAGCAGGUACUGGUUCUGGAACAACUCUCCUGCUGUUGUUACAAAGGUCAAUACGGUUACUAUCUUCAAGAUUGCUUCUACUUUCAAUAUCAUAGUUCUUUAUGCUGGAAUUGUUGCUUUUAACAUCUUCCAUGUUUUAAAUGCAGGACACUUCCAAUAUUCUAGUUAAGAAGUUGCCGUACAUUGUGUCAUGCUUAUAUAGCUUCAAAAAAGCCUCAAGGACUAUCGAUUUGCAAACAGGGAUAUCGAUUUGGUUGAUCCUAAGAAUAAAACAAAAGAUAUAAGUUAGUGCUGCAAAUUCUAAAAGCCACAAGUUGCUGGAGAGGGAGCAG
This 6946-nucleotide long non-coding RNA is filed under the name Solanum tuberosum (potato). RNAcentral's name for it is "long non-coding RNA (STUB_LNC006528)". The record is from RNAcentral. Lineage: Eukaryota; Viridiplantae; Streptophyta; Magnoliopsida; Solanales; Solanaceae.